UUAAAAAUCUGGCAAGGGAGAUACCGUGAUCACAAAGGUAGUUUUCCCAGGGCAAGGCUUAUCCAUUGCCCUGUGGAUGUGCUGACCCUUGUGAUUUCCCCAGACAUGGGAAGCUCAACUACAUAAUUUGUGAUAGUGGGAGACUGCUUUUGUACUCUCCCC
RNAcentral lists this small nuclear RNA (162 nucleotides) under Dasypus novemcinctus (nine-banded armadillo). RNAcentral describes it as "U1 spliceosomal RNA (ENSDNOG00000036374.1)". It matches the Rfam family "U1 spliceosomal RNA". Rfam says of the family: U1 is a small nuclear RNA (snRNA) component of the spliceosome (involved in pre-mRNA splicing). Its 5' end forms complementary base pairs with the 5' splice junction, thus defining the 5' donor site of an intron. The record is from RNAcentral. Lineage: Eukaryota; Metazoa; Chordata; Mammalia; Cingulata; Dasypodidae.